GUUUUGAAUUCACUGGAGUUGGGUUGUUGCCUCUCUUUGCUGUUCAUUUAUUCUUCAUCAACUCUUUAGAUCAUUUGAACAAACUGUGAAGCUAGAAAGUGUGUGUGAGCUGAUGUGGAUUCAGCAGCAUGGAUCAGUGUGAGGACAGAGAGGAGGGAGUCCCUCCCUCUAAAACCACUCUGUGUGGGGAAGAUGAGAGCCAGAGCAAAGGUCAGAGGAUCCAUCAGAGACUCAAACCAGAACCAGAACCAGAACCAGAACCCAGCUGUGUGUCCUUUAAGAGCAACAGGUCAAUGUAUGGGAUCAUUGACUUUAAAUCUCCUGGAUCUCCACCAUC
Long non-coding RNA from Poeciliopsis prolifica (blackstripe livebearer), 337 nucleotides. RefSeq lists it as uncharacterized. The transcript has 3 exons. The record is from RefSeq and is a predicted model, not a curated record. Lineage: Eukaryota; Metazoa; Chordata; Actinopteri; Cyprinodontiformes; Poeciliidae.